RNAcentral lists this long non-coding RNA (5185 nucleotides) under Sus scrofa (pig). Its description in RNAcentral is "lncRNA (ENSSSCG00045008514.1)". The record is from RNAcentral. Lineage: Eukaryota; Metazoa; Chordata; Mammalia; Artiodactyla; Suidae.
AAAUAACAUGAACCCAGUUUUUUGUUCAAACUUCUAAGUUAUACCUCACUGAAAAGAGGAAAAAAUAUAUAUAUAAUGUAUGUAUUAUAUAUAUAUGAAAUCUGUAUCUAUCUCUAGAUAGAUAAUGGGGUAAUUAAAAAUUUCUCCCUACUACCCACUCACUUUCUCUUUGCCCUUCUUAGCCAUUUAGGAGGUUUCAAAUAUUUACGUCUUAACACAUUUUUCUCUUAGGAACCUGAGUCCUUUAGUUACGUUUCCUAGUGACACCUUUCAGAGGAAGGUAGACAGCAAUUACAACCUGGACAUAACUGUAAGAAACUGUCUGGCACAGGGUUGUAUAAGUUCUCAUUGAAGCUUAGUCUACGAUUUAGCACCUUCAUCUUUUCAAGUGUUAUCUGGAAGAAGUACAUGAUUAUGUUAAAUUUACAAAACUCUAAUGUAUUCUUUAAAGUUUGUAGAGAAAAGGAUGAAUUCCUUAAUUUUGAUAAAGGCAUUGUUUAAGGAGUUCCCGUUGUGGCUCAGUGGAAAGGAAUCCGACUAGGAACCAUGAGGUUGUGAGUUCAAUCCAUGUUCUCUCUCAGUGGGUUAAGGAUCCAGCAUUGCCAUGAGCUGUAGUAUAGGUUGCAGAUGUGGCUCGGAUCUGGCCUUGUUGUGGCUCUGGCAUAGGCUGGCAGCUGUAGCUCUGACUCAUCCUGGGAACCUCCAUAUGCCAUGAGUGCGGCCCUAAAAAGCAGUGGGGGAAAAAAGGCAUUGUUUAAAUGGUUUUAAAUUGCAUAUAACAAACACCUCAGAUCCCAGCAAAGAAUAUCGGUCUCAGUAUAGAAAAUGUUCAUUGCAAAUUCAGCAAUAUUUAUUCAGUUGGUUACAGAGCACAGUACUAGCAAGCUCAAGUUAAGGAUUUCAUUCUAUAGGGCAAUCUUAGCUACUAUAAUAAAUAACUCAGGCUCAGCAAAGACAUACUGCAUUUCUAACCCCAACCAGUCAAACCUAAAAAAUGGGUAAAACGCAUCACAGUUGUUAAAAAACUAUUCAUCAUGACACAAGUCUGACAGUAUAUCAGAGGUAUUACAAAGGAUCAAACUUCUUAUAGAGACCCUGAGUUUAGAAGGAAAAAAAGAAAAAAGAAUAAAUCAACGAAGGAGAAUUUAUCAAUGAAAUCAUCCUUCUGUUCCUGGAUAAACACCUAAUGGGACCAAAGGGAAAUUAUAAGUGAAUAAAAAAAUUACAGCAGCCACAUGCAUUCAGAGAUACUGAAGGAGUUCCCAUCGUGGUGCAGCCAAAACGAAUCCAACUAGGAACCAGGAGGUUUUGGGUUUGAUCCCUGGCCUUGCUCAGUGGGUUCAGAAUCCUGAAUUGUUGUGGCUGUGGUGUAGGCUGGCAGCUGUAGCUCUGACUCAACCUGUAGCCUUGGAACCCCCAUAUGCCGCAAGUGCAGCCCUAAAAUGCAAAAAAAAAAAAAAAGAAGAGGUUUAAGGCCACAUGCAUCCAAAAAGAAAUGAGGAGGUUUAAGAGCAAAGAUAUAAAGGUCCCAGGAAGUAAUUACGGACUUCUCAAUUUAGGUUCUUUAAAUGGUCACAAAGCCAACUGACCUCUGUCCUAACAGCCAAAAUUCCAAGGACAUAGGUCUGGACUCAAGCACAUUGCUAAGGUCAACCACUUGGCAAAGUAAGAGGAGAAAAGGAAGAAACAUCACUCAUGAUAUACAAAGGCUUCAUAUCUCACCAGCCUUAGACACCAAGACCCAGAGACAUAUGACACUUGAGACCCCAAUUGAUGUUUCUAGUUUUUCUAAUAAUUAAAUUUCCUUUGAUGAAGACUAAAGAUCAAACUAGUUGAUAAUGAAUUCCAAGCCAAAGCAAACCAUUUGUUCUCUUUUCAAAAUGACAUCGGAGUCCUCUUGUGGCACAGUGGGUUAAGGAUCCAAUGUUGUAUAAAUAAAUAAAUAAAUAACAUGAUACCAAUAGUCUUAGUCUCAUUAAAAUCUUCCCCAGGUUUAGGUACAUGUCCUACACAGAAAAUCCAAAUUCUCAGAUAAAUGAUACUUCAAUAAAAACACAACUGAUGGAGUUUCCGUCGUGGCUCAGUGGUUAACGAAUCCAAUAGGGACCAUGAGGUUGUGGGUUCGAUCCCUGGCCUCGCUGAGUGGGUUAAGGAUCCAGGGCUGCCGCAAGCUGUGGUGUAGGUCGGCAACCCUGGAUCCUUAACCACACCACACUUGGCUCAGAUCCCAACGUUGCGGUGGCCCUGGCAUAGGCUGGCGGCUAUGGCUCUGAUUGGACCCCUAGCCUGGGAACCUCCAUAUGCAGCGGGUGGGGUCCUUUCUAAGACAAAAAAAUAAAUAAAUAAAAACACAACUGAGCUCCAGUUAGAGGAUUCGAAUCAUCCAGGAGAAAUGUGAUUGUGACUACAGUAAAUCAGCCUCAGUGGUGAUAGAAAGGAAUGUGAAAAAUAUUUAGCAUGCAGACCAGCAUUUACUAGACAGAGGGGAGGCAGCAACAUUUCCACCAAACUAUGUAUAUCAUGUUUUUCCCAAUUAAAUCAUUUUUAAAAGCUCAGUAGGAGAGAUCAACCAUUAAUGAAAUCCCACAAUAUAUCCUUUUACUUUAAGAAACAUCUAUUUUGUAAUGCCAAUAACUUUCUCUCUUUUAUUUUUACUGUAAACUUUCAUAAUAGGUGAGUAUUUUCAAUGUGGUGACUGUCUGGAAUUUAAUCUGUCUUUGGGUAUUCACUACUUACUUGAAAAGUCUGUCACCUAGAACUAGGCUUCCUGCUGCAUCCAAGGUACCUGAAACAGCACCUGGCACCCAGGAGGUCUCCAUUUAGUUCAGUAAGUGAAUAAAGACAUUGUGAAAAUACAAAUUUGCACUUUAUGCACUUUUCACAUAUACCCCUCUUUCACUUAAUAUUUGUCUUUAUUUCUUCUUUUGGCAGCUUCUGAUCCUAGUGAAUACCCUGGAGUUAGGGUAAAAUAUUAGAAAUAUUAAAUAAAAAUAUUUUUAAAAGAAUAUUAAAAAAGACGAAAUUUUUGUUUUAUUAUAUGAACUAGUAAAUAAGUAAAAGGCUGAGGGAAUUGAUAAUGAGAUUUGUGGCCUUUCAACUACAGGGGUAGUGUCUCAAGCCUAAAUUUGGUCAAAAAAAAAAAAAAAAACAUUUCAUUGAUAAAACACUUAGAUGCUACAACACACAGGAUAAAAGUAAUUUAAAUACUAAUUCCAAACCUGUACUGUUUUAAAGGGGUCAAAGAAUGUUAAUUCAUUCCAUACAUUUCUGAAUAAAUACGAAACAGUACUUAAAGAGUGAAAAUUAUCAGAUAAUGCAUAAAACCACACUUGGAAAAAAUACUUCGUCUUUCAACUUUUUUUUUUUGUCUUUUUGCCAUUUCUAGGGCCGUUCCCGCGGCAUAUGGAGGUUCCCAGGCUAGGGGGAUCGAACCCACAACCUCAUGGUUCCUAGUUGGAUUUGUUAACCACUGAGCCACAAUGGGAACUCCUCUUCUUUCAACAUUUAUUGGAUACCUACUGUGCACCAGGCUACAUUCCAACUACGUGUCACAAAGUACGAACAAACUGUUAUCAAGACAGGCCUACACCUCACUGCCAUUUGAUACGAUUAUUAUCUACUAUAUACACUACACUAAGCACUAGAGAUACUUCUAUCAACAAGACAAAUGAUUUCUGUCCUGGAUUCUAGUGGAGGGAAAAAAAGAGAAAAACCACCAAAUAGUGAGAAAUGACAAUAAAGACAUAAAUAGAGAGCCAAGAAAUGAUAACAGGGGACCCCUGUGGAUAAUGUGGCUGGAAACUGUCUCUCUGAGGAAGUGACAUUACACUAAGGCCUCAUUGAUGAAAAGGAAACAGCUCUGGUUGAGUUCCAGAUGUAUUUUGGAGAUGGGAGAAUGGACUGGAUGUGGGGAUUGAAGGGCAGGGAGGAAUCAAGGAUGGACCCUAGGUUUCUGGGUUGAGCAAUUACAUGGAUGGUGGCACCACUGACUGAAAUGGGUGCUGCAAAUUGCUGAGACUUAAACUUCAUAUAUUAUGUGUUCAUUCCUGCCUAAGGGUUACCAAAGACAUUCCAAUUGCCAAAUUCAGUGACGUAUUCACUCUUUUAUCUGACACUGUUGACCAUUGCUUCUUUCUUAAAAACUUCAUUCUCUCUUGGCUUCCAGGACACCACACUCUUCUGGUUCUUUUCAAAUUCAAUGAGCCUCCUUCUCAGGUUCCGUAUACUGGAGGACUCUGUCCUUGGUCUUCUGCUUUUCCUUCAAUACACUCACUUGGUGACCUCAUCCAAGCAAUCCACUGCUUUAACUGCUAUCCACAUAAAGCCUCCCAAAUCUCUAGCUCCUACCAGAACUUUCUCCUCACCUUUAGAACCAUCCACCCAACUGUUUUCUACCCACUCCUAUGGAGAUGCCUCAGUAGUAUCUUAAACUCAACAUAUCCAAAAGGAACUCCAUCAUCCUCUUCUAUGAACACUCCUAUUUCCUCAUCCCAUAUUUUUCAUCAUCGAAAAGCCCCACUUUCCAAAAAUAUGCCUGGCUACCCAAGCCCCAAACUGUAGCCCCAACUCCUCUCUUUCAAGUCCACAUCAAAUUGAUUUCCAGGUCUUAUCAAAUUUACUUUCUACUGAGCUCUUGGUUAUGUCCUCUCUUCAUAUCCCACACCUUUAAUUCAGGUCUUCAUCCUCUGGAUUAUUAUAACACUCUGGUUUCUUAAGCCUUAUACCAUUCUAACCUACCCUUCACAUCUCAAUAGACAGAGAAAUCCUUCACAGGCUCCCACAGCCCUCAGGAUCAAAUCUGGCCCCAAGAAUGGCAAACAAGGAGUUCCUGUCGUAGCUCAGUGGUAAUGAACCCAAAUAGUAUCCAUGAGGAUAUGGGUUUGACCCCUGGCCUCGCUCAGCAGGUUAAGGAUCCAGCGCUGUGUGGCUGUGGUGUAGGCUGUUACAGCUUCAACUGGACCCCUAGCCUAGGAACUUCCAUAUGCCAUGGGUACAGCCCUAAAAAGACCAAAAAAAAAAAAAAAAAAAGCAAAAUCUUGUGAGUUAGUGCCUCUGACUGGCUUUCCUGCCUCAACCCCUACCAUCUCUCCUAUACUCUCCAACCUCCCAUCACAAUGACCUACUAACAGGUUCAUGCAUGACUCUGCAUAUCCUGUUUCCUCCCCCAAUGCCUACUUGGCUUAGG